UACGUAGGUGGCAAGCGUUGUCCGGAUUUACUGGGCGUAAAGAGCGCGCAGGCGGUCGUUCAAGUCGCGUGUGAAAGCCCCCGGCUCAACUGGGGAGGGUCACGCGAUACUGAUCGACUCGAAGGCAGGAGAGGGUAGUGGAAUUCCCGGUGUAGUGGUGAAAUGCGCAGAUAGUCAGGAGGAACACCGGUGGCGGAAGGCGGGUUCUCUGGGCAUUACCUGACGCUGGAGGAGCGAAAGUGUGGGGAGCGAACAGG
This 257-nucleotide ribosomal RNA is filed under the name uncultured bacterium. RNAcentral describes it as "partial 16S ribosomal RNA". It matches the Rfam family "Bacterial small subunit ribosomal RNA", at positions 524 to 776 of the family's 1533-position model. The record is from RNAcentral.